AAAUAGUAAAAGGUUCAUACGAAAAUUUGACAAAAACUCCAUUGAUGGGCAUUCAAGGACUUCGGUUUUGACAUUCUUUUGACUCGGAAAAACCCCAUGAUUGUUUUAGAUGCUUAACACGUUUUAAAAUUGUUUCCUUUUUAAUCAACAUCAAAAUCCCAUAAACUCCAUUAUUUGAAUUCUUAAGAACAACAUCAAUCUAUGGUUUUAUUUACCCAACAAUAGAAUACGAACUUUUAAUCAACCAACAACUCACAACUUCAAUCAUCAUAAUAUAAGAUUCAAAAGGAUGGCCAACACAUAUUUCAAACACGAAUCUAAGGUGCAAUGAUAGAAUCAAAACACAACGUCAUGUAUACAAAACUCAAACAUCACAACAUCAUGAACAAGGAAAAGAGGAGAACAACAACUUAAAGCACACAUAAUGAAUAUAGCAAAUAUGCCUAUU
This 448-nucleotide long non-coding RNA is filed under the name Trifolium pratense (red clover). RNAcentral's name for it is "long non-coding RNA (TPRA_LNC002375)". The record is from RNAcentral. Lineage: Eukaryota; Viridiplantae; Streptophyta; Magnoliopsida; Fabales; Fabaceae.